This is a long non-coding RNA of Misgurnus anguillicaudatus (oriental weatherfish), 1258 nucleotides long. RefSeq lists it as uncharacterized. Lineage: Eukaryota; Metazoa; Chordata; Actinopteri; Cypriniformes; Cobitidae. The record is from RefSeq and is a predicted model, not a curated record.
ACAUUGUACACUGUAAAAUGUAAUAGCUGAGCUUACUAAAAAGAUUAAGUAAACUUAACUUAUUUAAUUAAGUUUGUUAACCUUACUUAGUUUAACUAAGUAAUCCCAACUUUUUUCUAUGCAAACUCAAGUCAACUUGAUUAAACUUAACAGAUUAAUUUAGCUCAACUUAAAAUUUCAAGUAUUUUCAAAAAGGAUGACUGCACAGUAGGUGGCAGUAAUGCUCCCAAGGAGUAAGUGGUGGCUUAACUGAGUGGUUAACUGAAGAAGACGACAACAGCACAUGGUCGGAUAAGAGCAUGAGGAGCAGGAGCUUGUUUCUUUGAAGAGAGCGCAUACCCUUCAUGGAAAGUCAGUAACGUUACUGUGGAGUACAACCAAGUCGCAAGCAAAAACCUCAAGCAAGAAUUGUUCUCAUCCCUUGCUAAACAUUGUUUUUGAAGAUUUUGAAUGAAAGAAAAGAAAUCUAAACAUCACUGAUGACAGUGCUCGGUGGACGGUAGUUCUCCGUGGUCUUGCUAUCCUUCUUGCGGAAGACACUACAGACUUCCUGAAAACAAACAUGGACUGUGAUGGUGACCCACCUCAACUAUCAAUAGGAAUUCUCAGUCUGGUGCCGGAGGACAGACACAUUUCUCCACAUGGUUUACAGCAAUUAUUUGGUAGGGUGUCACAGCCAUGGAUGGACUUGAGAAAGUAUCACAUGCCAUGUGUUUAGUUUUUGGACUGAUCGUUGUUUUAAAUAUGGAGUACCUCUUCACAGCUUAUUUUGAGUUGAUUCACAGGGUUUUUCUUUCCCUGGGGCACAAAUCACUAAAGUCAAAACUGCCAUCACUACAAAACAUACUAAUGUGAAGUAGUGUGUUUUGUGUGAAACAAGUCCGUGUUACUGUAGAUCUGUUGCAUUUUGGGGUUUUUAUUUUUUGUCAGCCUGGAUACAAGUUCCAGAAAAACUCAACUUGAAUUGCUGCAAAACUUUGAUGUUUUAGUUAAGAUGUAUUUUGUGUAUUUCUGAUGGCAGAAACAAGAUUGUUACUGUAGGUCUGUUGAUGCAAUUUGUGAUUUUUUUAUCAGUCACAUGCCAACCUGGAUACAAAACCAAAACUGCAGUCACAAAAAAAACUAGUUUUGAAUUUGUUUGUCAAGGUGUGUUCAUUGUGUUUGUAAUAACAGAAACAAGACUGUCUUAGGUCUAUUGUUGCAUUUUGGGUAUCCAGAUUGAUGGGUGACUGAACACAAACCCCUUUCUUGUUGUGUG